RNAcentral lists this ribosomal RNA (286 nucleotides) under Chromobacterium sp. RNAcentral's name for it is "partial 16S ribosomal RNA". It matches the Rfam family "Bacterial small subunit ribosomal RNA", at positions 940 to 1223 of the family's 1533-position model. Lineage: Bacteria; Pseudomonadati; Pseudomonadota; Betaproteobacteria; Neisseriales; Chromobacteriaceae. The record is from RNAcentral.
UGUGGAUUAAUUCGAUGCAACGCGAAAAACCUUACCUGCUCUUGACAUGUACGGAACUUGCCAGAGAUGGCUUGGUGCCCGAAAGGGAGCCGUAACACAGGUGCUGCAUGGCUGUCGUCAGCUCGUGUCGUGAGAUGUUGGGUUAAGUCCCGCAACGAGCGCAACCCUUGUCAUUAGUUGCCAUCAUUCAGUUGGGCACUCUAAUGAGACUGCCGGUGACAAACCGGAGGAAAGUGGGGAUGACGUCAAGUCCUCAUGGCCCUUAUGAGCAGGGCUUCACACGUCA